AAGGCGGAAGCGGAGGCGGAGACGGAGACGAAGGCGGAAGCGGAGACGAAGGCGGAAGCGGAGGCGGAGACGGAGGCGGAGGCGGAGACGAAGGCGGAAGCGGAGGCGGAGACGAAGGCGGAAGCGGAGGCGGAGACGAAGGCGGAAGCGGAGGCGGAGACGAAGGCGGAAGCGGAGGCGGAGACGAAGGCGGAAGCGGAGGCGGAGGAGGCGGCGUAGGAGGAGGCGAAGACGGAAGCGGAGGCGGAGG
This 250-nucleotide long non-coding RNA is filed under the name Fragaria vesca (wild strawberry). RNAcentral's name for it is "long non-coding RNA (FVES_LNC001935)". The record is from RNAcentral. Lineage: Eukaryota; Viridiplantae; Streptophyta; Magnoliopsida; Rosales; Rosaceae.